AUGAACGCUAGCGGCAGGCUUAAUACAUGCAAGUUGAGGGGCAGCAUGAUAUACGCGAGUAUAUUGAUGGCGACCGGCGGACGGGUGAGUAAUAGGUAGGAGACCUACCUCAUACAGGGGGAUAGCAUAGAGAAAUCUGUGGUAAUACCCCAUGAGGUUAUAUGAAUAGAGGCAUAUAAUCAAAGCAUAAGCGAUUAUGCGGUAUGGAGAGGGGCCUACUGACCAUUAGCUAGUUGGUGAGGUAAGGGCUCACCAAGGCGAAGAUGGUUAGGGGUUUUGAGAGAGAGACCCCCCACAUUGGAACUGAGAGACGGUCCAGACUCCUACGGGAGGCAGCAGUAGGGAAUAUUGGGCAAUGGGCGAAAGCCUGACCCAGCCAUGCCGCGUGAAGGAAGACGGCCUUAUGGGUUGUAAACUUCUUUACUACGCGAAUAGAGGUUAGUACGAGAUACUAAUAGGAAGGUAGUGUAGUAAAAAGCACCGGCUAACUCCGUG
RNAcentral lists this ribosomal RNA (495 nucleotides) under uncultured bacterium. RNAcentral describes it as "bacterial SSU rRNA". It matches the Rfam family "Bacterial small subunit ribosomal RNA", at positions 30 to 507 of the family's 1533-position model. The record is from RNAcentral.